UAUUUGUUCUUAUCAGUUUAAUAUCUGAUACGUUUGCUAUGUGAGAACUUUAUAUUAAAUGGAUUUUUGGAACAGGGAGAUGGACUAGGAGCUUGCUUCAUCCACUCCAUGUAUCAACCUGGUAUUGCAGUACUGUCGGGUACGGUGC
RNAcentral lists this small nuclear RNA (148 nucleotides) under Chrysemys picta bellii (western painted turtle). Its description in RNAcentral is "U2 spliceosomal RNA (ENSCPBG00000002299.1)". It matches the Rfam family "U2 spliceosomal RNA", at positions 37 to 185 of the family's 192-position model. From Rfam's summary of the family: U2 is a small nuclear RNA (snRNA) component of the spliceosome (involved in pre-mRNA splicing). Complementary binding between U2 snRNA (in an area lying towards the 5' end but 3' to hairpin I) and the branchpoint sequence (BPS) of the intron results the bulging out of an unpaired adenosine, on the BPS, which initiates a nucleophilic attack at the intronic 5' splice site, thus starting the first of two transesterification reactions that mediate splicing. Lineage: Eukaryota; Metazoa; Chordata; Testudines; Emydidae. The record is from RNAcentral.